UACGUAGGGUGCGAGCGUUGUCCGGAAUUAUUGGGCGUAAAGGGCUCGUAGGCGGUUUGUCGCGUCGGGAGUGAAAACCAGGUGCUUAACACCUGGCUUGCUUUCGAUACGGGCAGACUAGAGGUAUUCAGGGGAGAACGGAAUUCCUGGUGUAGCGGUGAAAUGCGGCAGAUAUCAGGAGGAACAGCCGGUGGCGAAGGCGGGUUCUC
This 209-nucleotide ribosomal RNA is filed under the name uncultured bacterium. Its description in RNAcentral is "partial 16S ribosomal RNA". It matches the Rfam family "Bacterial small subunit ribosomal RNA", at positions 524 to 729 of the family's 1533-position model. The record is from RNAcentral.